RNAcentral lists this ribosomal RNA (492 nucleotides) under uncultured bacterium. Its description in RNAcentral is "partial 16S ribosomal RNA". It matches the Rfam family "Bacterial small subunit ribosomal RNA", at positions 29 to 507 of the family's 1533-position model. The record is from RNAcentral.
AGUGAACGCUGGCGGUAGGCCUAACACAUGCAAGUCGAACGGCAGCACAGUAAGAGCUUGCUCUUACGGGUGGCGAGUGGCGGACGGGUGAGGAAUACAUCGGAAUCUACUUUUUCGUGGGGGAUAACGUAGGGAAACUUACGCUAAUACCGCAUACGACCUACGGGUGAAAGCAGGGGAUCUUCGGACCUUGCGCGAUUGAAUGAGCCGAUGUCGGAUUAGCUAGUUGGCGGGGUAAAGGCCCACCAAGGCGACGAUCCGUAGCUGGUCUGAGAGGAUGAUCCGGCACACCGGAAACGGGAAAAGGUUCAGACCCCCAAGGGGGGGAGGCGGUGGGAAAUUUUGGACAAGGGGGCAAGGCCGACUCCGCCCAGCCCGGGGGGGGAAAAAGGGCCUUGGGGUUUAAAACCCUUUUUGUUGGGAAAAAAAAGCGUCAGGUUAACUCCCCGCUUUUUGGGGGGACCCAAAAAAAAAAGCACCGGUAAAUUUCUG